Molecule: ribosomal RNA, 1522 nt
Filed under: Kluyvera ascorbata
Lineage: Bacteria; Pseudomonadati; Pseudomonadota; Gammaproteobacteria; Enterobacterales; Enterobacteriaceae
Description: bacterial SSU rRNA
Rfam family: Bacterial small subunit ribosomal RNA
Source: RNAcentral
GUUUGAUCCUGGCUCAGAUUGAACGCUGGCGGCAGGCCUAACACAUGCAAGUCGAACGGUAGCACAGAGAGCUUGCUCUUGGGUGACGAGUGGCGGACGGGUGAGUAAUGUCUGGGAAACUGCCCGAUGGAGGGGGAUAACUACUGGAAACGGUAGCUAAUACCGCAUAACGUCGCAAGACCAAAGUGGGGGACCUUCGGGCCUCACACCAUCGGAUGUGCCCAGAUGGGAUUAGCUAGUUGGUGAGGUAAUGGCUCACCAAGGCGACGAUCCCUAGCUGGUCUGAGAGGAUGACCAGCCACACUGGAACUGAGACACGGUCCAGACUCCUACGGGAGGCAGCAGUGGGGAAUAUUGCACAAUGGGCGCAAGCCUGAUGCAGCCAUGCCGCGUGUAUGAAGAAGGCCUUCGGGUUGUAAAGUACUUUCAGCGAGGAGGAAGGCGUUGUGGUUAAUAACCGCAGCGAUUGACGUUACUCGCAGAAGAAGCACCGGCUAACUCCGUGCCAGCAGCCGCGGUAAUACGGAGGGUGCAAGCGUUAAUCGGAAUUACUGGGCGUAAAGCGCACGCAGGCGGUCUGUCAAGUCGGAUGUGAAAUCCCCGGGCUCAACCUGGGAACUGCAUUCGAAACUGGCAGGCUAGAGUCUUGUAGAGGGGGGUAGAAUUCCAGGUGUAGCGGUGAAAUGCGUAGAGAUCUGGAGGAAUACCGGUGGCGAAGGCGGCCCCCUGGACAAAGACUGACGCUCAGGUGCGAAAGCGUGGGGAGCAAACAGGAUUAGAUACCCUGGUAGUCCACGCCGUAAACGAUGUCUAUUUGGAGGUUGUUCCCUUGAGGAGUGGCUUCCGGAGCUAACGCGUUAAAUAGACCGCCUGGGGAGUACGGCCGCAAGGUUAAAACUCAAAUGAAUUGACGGGGGCCCGCACAAGCGGUGGAGCAUGUGGUUUAAUUCGAUGCAACGCGAAGAACCUUACCUACUCUUGACAUCCAGAGAAYUUASCAGAGAUGCUUUGGUGCCUUCGGGAACUSUGAGACAGGUGCUGCAUGGCUGUCGUCAGCUCGUGUUGUGAAAUGUUGGGUUAAGUCCCGCAACGAGCGCAACCCUUAUCCUUUGUUGCCAGCGGUUCGGCCGGGAACUCAAAGGAGACUGCCAGUGAUAAACUGGAGGAAGGUGGGGAUGACGUCAAGUCAUCAUGGCCCUUACGAGUAGGGCUACACACGUGCUACAAUGGCAUAUACAAAGAGAAGCGACCUCGCGAGAGCAAGCGGACCUCAUAAAGUAUGUCGUAGUCCGGAUUGGAGUCUGCAACUCGACUCCAUGAAGUCGGAAUCGCUAGUAAUCGUAGAUCAGAAUGCUACGGUGAAUACGUUCCCGGGCCUUGUACACACCGCCCGUCACACCAUGGGAGUGGGUUGCAAAAGAAGUAGGUAGCUUAACCUUCGGGAGGGCGCUUACCACUUUGUGAUUCAUGACUGGGGUGAAGUCGUAACAAGGUAACCGUAGGGGAACCUGCGGCUGGAUCA